This 68-nucleotide transfer RNA is filed under the name Streptomyces luteogriseus. RNAcentral's name for it is "tRNA-Ser". Lineage: Bacteria; Bacillati; Actinomycetota; Actinomycetes; Kitasatosporales; Streptomycetaceae. The record is from RNAcentral.
GCGGUUCGUGGCGGUGCUGCACGCGCCUACGGAUCAGAAGGUUGCAGGUUCGAAUCCUGCCGAGUGCA